Molecule: ribosomal RNA, 253 nt
Filed under: uncultured bacterium
Lineage: Bacteria
Description: partial 16S ribosomal RNA
Rfam family: Bacterial small subunit ribosomal RNA
Source: RNAcentral
GACAGAGGGUGCAACCGUUGUUCGGAAUUACUGGGCGUAAAGGGCGCGUAGGCGGUCUUGUAAGUCUUGUGUGAAAUCCCUCGGCUUAACUGAGGAACUGCACGAGAUACUGCGAGACUUGAGUUCGGGAGAGGAAAGCGGAAUUCCGGGUGUAGCGGUGAAAUGCGUAGAUAUCCGGAGGAACACCGGUGGCGAAGGCGGCUUUCUGGACCGACACUGACGCUGAGGCGCGAAAGCUAGGGGAGCAAACGGG